This 560-nucleotide long non-coding RNA is filed under the name Homo sapiens (human). RNAcentral describes it as "HSALNT0034561". The record is from RNAcentral. Lineage: Eukaryota; Metazoa; Chordata; Mammalia; Primates; Hominidae.
CAAAUUCCUAGGUCAAGAGAUCUUCCACCUUGGCCUCCUGAGUGGCUGGGACUACAGGAGAUCACCUUUUCAAAGCUGAAUAUCAAAGUCAGAAAAUCAACUAAAUGAAAGGUUUCUCUGUCACCCAGGCUGGAAUGCAAUGGCGUGAUUAUAGCUCAAUGCAUCUUCAUCUCCCUGGGCUCAAGCAAUCUUCCAAGCUCAGCCUCCCAAGUAGCUGGAACUACAGGUAGGUGCCACAAUGUCCAGUUAAUGUUUAAUUUUUUUUUUUUUUUUUUUUUUUUUGCAGAGAUGUGGUCUCACUUUGCUGCCCAGGCUGUCCUGUAACUCCUGGGCUCAAGACUCCUGGGCGCAAACAAUCUUUUUACUUUGCCUCUCACAGUGGUGGGAUUACAGGCAUGGGCAACCAUGCCCGGCCAAGUAUUGUCUUUUUAUAGUGUGGUUUUGCUCAGUUUAAUUAUUAGUUCAAAUAGGUUUUUUGUAGAUGCCUCAAGGUUUUCUAACUAAACCCUCAUGUCAUCUGGAAGUAAAGAAGGUUUUACUCCUUUUCUUUUUUAAGCCAU